UACGCAUGGUGCAAGCGUUAUCCGGAUUUACUGGGCGUAAAGGGAGCGCAGGCGGCGCGCCAAGUCUGAUGUGAAACCCCGGGGCUCAACCCCGGGCAUGCAUUGGAAACUGGCGGGCUGGAGUGCCGGAGAGGUAAGCGGAAUUCCUAGUGUAGCGGUGAAAUGCGUAGAUAUUAGGAGGAACACCAGUGGCGAAGGCGGCUUACUGGACGGCAACUGACGCUGAGGCUCGAAAGCGUGGGGAGCAAACAGG
This 253-nucleotide ribosomal RNA is filed under the name uncultured bacterium. RNAcentral describes it as "partial 16S ribosomal RNA". It matches the Rfam family "Bacterial small subunit ribosomal RNA", at positions 524 to 776 of the family's 1533-position model. The record is from RNAcentral.